ACCCGCUGAACUUAAGCAUAUCAAUAAGCGGAGGAAAAGAAACCAACAGGGAUUGCCCCAGUAACGGCGAGUGAAGCGGCAACAGCUCAAAUUUGAAAUCUGGCCCUCGGGUCCGAGUUGUAAUUUGUAGAGGAUGCUUUUGGCGCGGUGCCUUCCGAGUUCCCUGGAACGGGACGCCAUAGAGGGUGAGAGCCCCGUCUGGUUGGAUGCCAAGCCUCUGUAAAGCUCCUUCGACGAGUCGAGUAGUUUGGGAAUGCUGCUCUAAAUGGGAGGUAUAUGUCUUCUAAAGCUAAAUACCGGCCAGAGACCGAUAGCGCACAAGUAGAGUGAUCGAAAGAUGAAAAGCACUUUGAAAAGAGGGUUAAAUAGUACGUGAAAUUGUUGAAAGGGAAGCGUUUAUGACCAGACUUGGGCCUGGCUGAUCAUCCGGUGUUCUCACCGGUGCACUCUGCCGGCUCAGGCCAGCAUCAGUUCGUAGCGGGGGAUAAAGGCGGCGGGAACGUGGCUCCCUCGGGAGUGUUAUAGCCCGCCGUGUAAUACCCUGCGUCGGACUGAGGUUCGCGCUUCUGCAAGGAUGCUGGCGUAAUGGUCAUCAACGACCCGUCUUGAAACACGGACCAAGGAGUCGUCUUCGUAUGCGAGUGUUCGGGUGUCAAACCCCUACGCGUAAUGAAAGUGAACGCAGGUGAGAGCUUCGGCGCAUCAUCGACCGAUCCUGAUGUUCUCGGAUGGAUUUGAGUAAGAGCAUACGGGGCCGGACCCGAAAGAAGGUGAACUAUGCCUGUAUAGGGUGAAGCCAGAGGAAACUCUGGUGGAGGCUCGCAGCGGUUCUGACGUGCAAAUCGAUCGUCAAAUAUGGGCAUGGGGGCGAAAGAC
RNAcentral lists this ribosomal RNA (876 nucleotides) under Reticulonectria setadpressa. RNAcentral describes it as "Trichonectria setadpressa partial large subunit ribosomal RNA". It matches the Rfam family "Eukaryotic large subunit ribosomal RNA", at positions 23 to 931 of the family's 3401-position model. The record is from RNAcentral. Lineage: Eukaryota; Fungi; Ascomycota; Sordariomycetes; Hypocreales; Trichonectriaceae.